This 578-nucleotide ribosomal RNA is filed under the name uncultured Pseudomonadota bacterium. RNAcentral describes it as "bacterial SSU rRNA". It matches the Rfam family "Bacterial small subunit ribosomal RNA", at positions 31 to 654 of the family's 1533-position model. Lineage: Bacteria; Pseudomonadati; Pseudomonadota. The record is from RNAcentral.
GUACGCUGGCGGCACGCCUAACACAUGCAAGUCGAACGAAGUAGCAAUACUUAGUGGCAGACGGGUGAGUAACAUGUAGGUAUCUGCCCUUUGGCCUGGAAUAACACGAGGAAACUUGUGCUAAUACCGGAUAAGUCUUUACGGAGAAAGCUUUAUGCACCAUUGGAUGAGCCUGCACUUGAUUAGUUUGUUGGUGGGGUAAUGGCCUACCAAGACUGUGAUCAAUAGCUGAUUUGAGAGGAUGAUCAGCCACAUUGGGACUGAGACACGGCCCAAACUCCUACGGGAGGCAGCAGUGGGGAAUCUUGCACAAUGGAGGAAACUCUGAUGCAGCGAUGCCGCGUGAGUGAAGAAGGCCCUUGGGUUGUAAAGCUCUUUCGUCGGGGAAGAAAAUGACUGUACCCGAAUAAGAAGGUCCGGCUAACUUCGUGCCAGCAGCCGCGGUAAUACGAAGGGACCUAGCGUAGUUCGGAAUUACUGGGCUUAAAGAGUUCGUAGGUGGUUGAAAAAGUUGGUGGUGAAAUCCCAGGGCUUAACUCUGGAACUGCCAUCAAAACUUUUCAGCUAGAGUAUGAUAG